GGGGUUGUGGCUCAGCGGUGGAGCACUUGCCUAGCACAUGUGAGGCAUGAGGCACUGGGUUCGAUCCUCAGCACCACA
This 78-nucleotide transfer RNA is filed under the name Marmota monax (woodchuck). Its description in RNAcentral is "tRNA.Ala". Lineage: Eukaryota; Metazoa; Chordata; Mammalia; Rodentia; Sciuridae. The record is from RNAcentral.